Molecule: ribosomal RNA, 464 nt
Filed under: uncultured bacterium
Lineage: Bacteria
Description: bacterial SSU rRNA
Rfam family: Bacterial small subunit ribosomal RNA
Source: RNAcentral
UCCAGACUCCUACGGGAGGCAGCAGUGAGGAAUAUUGGUCAAUGGGCGGGAGCCUGAACCAGCCAAGCCGCGUGAGGGGAGAAGGUACAGCGUAUCGUAAACCUCUUUUGUCAGGGAACAAAGGCGGGGACUAGUCCCCGGAUGAGGGUACCUGAAGAAAAAGCAUCGGCUAACUCCGUGCCAGCAGCCGCGGUAAUACGGAGGAUGCGAGCGUUAUCCGGAUUUAUUGGGUUUAAAGGGUGCGCAGGCGGCCUGUUAGGUCAGGGGUAAAGGCCGGGGGCUCACCCCCGGCGAGCCGUUGAAACUGGCAGACUUGAGUUGGCGAGAAGUACGCGGAAUGCGCGGUGUAGCGGUGAAAUGCAUAGAUAUCGCGCAGAACUCCGAUUGCGAAGGCAGCGUACCGGCGCCAGACUGACGCUGAGGCACGAAAGCGUGGGGAUCGAACAGGAUUAGAUACCCCUGUA